This 889-nucleotide ribosomal RNA is filed under the name Cryptosporidium muris. RNAcentral describes it as "SSU rRNA". It matches the Rfam family "Eukaryotic small subunit ribosomal RNA", at positions 124 to 1033 of the family's 1831-position model. Lineage: Eukaryota; Apicomplexa; Conoidasida; Eucoccidiorida; Cryptosporidiidae. The record is from RNAcentral.
AGGAAAACAGGUUUUUUGGUGAUUCAUAAUAACUUUUCGAAUCGUAUGACUUUACGUCGACGAUGGUUCAUUCAAAUUUCUGCCCUAUCAACUUUCGAUGGGAAGGGUUGUAUUUAUUAGAUACAGAACCAAUGAGCUUGGUGAUUCAUAAUAACUUUACGGAUCGCAUCUCUGAUGCGACAUGUCAUUCAAGUUUCUGAACUAUCAGCUUUAGACGGUAGGGUAUUGGCCUACCGUGGCUAUGACGGGUAACGGGGAAUUAGGGUUCGAUUCCGGAGAGGGAGCCUGAGAAACGGCUACCACAUCUAAGAAAGGCAGCAGGCGCGCAAAUUACCCAAUCCUGACACAGGAAGGUAGUGACAAGAAAUAACAAUACAGGGCCUAACGGUCUUGUAAUUGGAAUGAGUGAAGUAUAAACCCCUUUACGAGUAUCAAUUGGAGGGCAAGUCUGGUGCAAGCAGCCGCGGUAAUUCCAGCUCCAAUAGCGUAUAUUAAAGUUGUUGCAGUUAAAAAGCUCGUAGUUGGAUUUCUGUUGUAUAAUCUAUAAUAUUACUAAGGUAUAUAUUAUAUUAUCAACAUCCUUCCUAUUAUAUUUCUAAAUAUAUAGGAAACUUUACUUUGAGAAAAUUAGAGUGCUUAAAGCAGGCAACUGCCAUGAAUACUCCAGCAUGGAAUAAUAAGUAAGGACUUUUGUCUAUCUUAUUGGUUCUAGGACAAAAGUAAUAGUUAAUAGGGACAGUUGGGGGCAUUCGUAUUUAACAGCCAGAGGUGAAAUUCUUAGAUUUGUUAAAGACUAACUACUGCGAAAGCAUUUGCCAAGGAUGUUAUCAUUAAUCAAGAACGAAAGUUAGGGGAUCGAAGACGAUCAGAAAACUAAACUUCUAACAAA